UACGUAGGGCGCAAGCGUUGUCCGGAAUUAUUGGGCGUAAAGAGCUCGUAGGCGGUUUGUCGCGUCUGUCGUGAAAGCUUGGGGCUUAACCCCAAGCCUGCGGUGGAUACGGGCAGACUAGGGGCAGGUAGGGGAGACCGGAAUUCCCGGUGUAGCGGUGAAAUGCGCAGAUAUCGGGAGGAACACCGGUGGCGAAGGCGGUUCUCUGGGCCUGUACUGACGCUGAGGAGCGAAAGCGUGGGGAGCGAACAGG
RNAcentral lists this ribosomal RNA (253 nucleotides) under uncultured bacterium. RNAcentral describes it as "partial 16S ribosomal RNA". It matches the Rfam family "Bacterial small subunit ribosomal RNA", at positions 524 to 776 of the family's 1533-position model. The record is from RNAcentral.